UACGUAGGGGGCAAGCGUUGUUCGGAUUUACUGGGCUUAAAGCGCGUGUAGGCGGCCCGGCAAGUGUCGUGUGAAAUCCCAUGGCUCAACCAUGGAACGGCAUGGCAAACUACCGGGCUGGAGGUCGGUAGAGGUGCCUGGAACUCUCGGUGGAGCGGUGAAAUGCGUAGAUAUCGAGAGGAACGCAAGAGGCGAAAGCGGGGCACUGGGCCGAUUCUGACGCUGAGACGCGAAAGCGUGGGGAGCAAACAGG
RNAcentral lists this ribosomal RNA (253 nucleotides) under uncultured bacterium. RNAcentral describes it as "partial 16S ribosomal RNA". It matches the Rfam family "Bacterial small subunit ribosomal RNA", at positions 524 to 776 of the family's 1533-position model. The record is from RNAcentral.